UAAUGAGGACCCUGUGGAGCAGACA
This 25-nucleotide non-coding RNA is filed under the name Cricetulus griseus (Chinese hamster). Lineage: Eukaryota; Metazoa; Chordata; Mammalia; Rodentia; Cricetidae. The record is from RNAcentral.